AUACUUACCUGACAGGGGAGAUACCAUGGUCAUGAAGGUGGUUUUCCCAGGGUGAGGCUUAUCCACUGCACUACAGAUAUGCUAACCUCUGUGAUUUCCCCAAAUGUGGAAACUUGAUUGCAUAAUUUGUGGUCAUGGGGGACUGUGUUCAUGCUUUCCCUUA
This is a small nuclear RNA of Onychomys torridus (southern grasshopper mouse), 163 nucleotides long. RefSeq annotates it as U1 spliceosomal RNA. The record is from RefSeq and is a predicted model, not a curated record. NCBI's taxonomy places the organism in Eukaryota, Metazoa, Chordata, Mammalia, Rodentia, Cricetidae. The transcript has a single exon.